UGGGGAAUAUUGCACAAUGGGCGCAAGCCUGAUGCAGCGACGCCGCGUGGGGGAUGACGGCCUUCGGGUUGUAAACUCCUUUCGCUAGGGACGAAGCUUUUUGUGACGGUACCUAGAUAAGAAGCACCGGCUAACUACGUGCCAGCAGCCGCGGUAAUACGUAGGGUGCGAGCGUUGUCCGGAAUUACUGGGCGUAAAGGGCUCGUAGGUGGUUUGUCGCGUCGUCUGUGAAAUUCCGGGGCUUAACUCCGGGCGUGCAGGCGAUACGGGCAUAACUUGAGUACUGUAGGGGUAACUGGAAUUCCUGGUGUAGCGGUGAAAUGCGCAGAUAUCAGGAGGAACACCGAUGGCGAAGGCAGGUUACUGGGCAGUUACUGACGCUGAAGAGCGAAAGCAUGGGUAGCGAACAGG
Molecule: ribosomal RNA, 411 nt
Filed under: Actinomycetes bacterium
Lineage: Bacteria; Bacillati; Actinomycetota; Actinomycetes
Description: Actinobacteria bacterium partial 16S ribosomal RNA
Rfam family: Bacterial small subunit ribosomal RNA
Source: RNAcentral